This is an RNA transcript of Vigna unguiculata (cowpea), 1625 nucleotides long. It is a transcript of the gene named Nucleotide-sugar transporter family protein, with no coding region annotated. The record is from RefSeq and is a predicted model, not a curated record. NCBI's taxonomy places the organism in Eukaryota, Viridiplantae, Streptophyta, Magnoliopsida, Fabales, Fabaceae.
UGAAAGAAAUUUGCAUUAAACGGUGCGUUUGAGUGCGUGUUUCUUGAGUCUCUCUGCGUGGAUCUGCAGAAGUGUUAGAAGAUGCAGUGGUACUUCGUCGCUGCGCUCCUCACCGUUCUCACCAGUUCUCAGGGAAUACUCACAACCCUCUCGCAAAGUAACGGAGAGUACAAAUAUGAUUACGCUACGGUCCCAUUUCUCGCCGAGGUUUUCAAGCUUGCGGUGUCAUGUUUUUUACUGUGGAGGGAAUGCCAAAAGUCACCCCUGCCAAAGAUGACGACGGAGUGGAAAACGGUGGCUUUAUUCCCUAUUCCCUCGGUUAUAUAUCUGAUCCACAAUAAUGUGCAGUUUGCUACACUCACUUAUGUGGACACUUCCACCUAUCAGAUAAUGGGAAAUUUGAAGAUUGUUACCACUGGGGUGCUAUUCAGGAUGUUUUUGGGUAGGAGGCUUUCUAACUUGCAGUGGAUGGCUAUUGUGUUGUUGGCUGUCGGGACAACCACUAGUCAGGUUAGGGGCUGUGGAGAGACUUCCUGUGAAUCCCUUUUCUCAGCACCAAUUCAGGGAUACAUGUUAGGAGUUCUAUCUGCUUGUCUCUCAGCAUUAGCUGGAGUUUAUACUGAGUUCUUGAUGAAGAAAAACAAUGACAGCUUAUACUGGCAGAAUAUGCAGUUGUACACGUUUGGAACACUUUUCAACAUGGCAAGACUACUUGUGGAUGAUUUCAGAGGUGGAUUUGAAAAUGGGCCUUGGUGGCGACGUAUUUUUGAUGGAUACACUAUCACGACCUGGAUGGUGGUAUUGAAUUUGGGUUCUACUGGUCUUUUAGUUUCAUGGUUAAUGAAACACGCUGAUAAUAUUGUGAAGGUCUAUUCCACAUCAAUGGCAAUGCUGCUAACAAUGAUACUUUCACUAUUUCUCUUCAACUUCAAACCUACAUUGCAGCUUUUCUUGGGCAUUAUCAUUUGUAUGAUGUCUCUACACAUGUAUUUUGCCCCACCAAACAUGCUCUUGGAUAUGCCAAUAACUGUUAAACCAGACGAAGAGAAGCUCAUUGAAGUUUCUGUUGAUAGAAGACCACAUUCAUGAUGUUGUAUUGACGUCUGAAUACAAGGCUUGGUACUCUGAACUGAAUGGAGUAUCAAUUUGAACGUGAUAUUUCAGUUUUUUUGGGUAAUAUAAUUUGUUCUUUCCCAGGUAUUCCUAUAAGGCCUAUUAAAGUCAAUAGUAGAGCAGCAGAAUGCUGAAUAUUAUUCCACGCUGCAUUGGUUCAGUGACUUUGUAGAGCAAAGGCAUCUUCGGUGGUGUGACUUAAACUCCAUAUGACAAAUUCGGAAAUCCCUUGUGUUGCCUGUGUUUAAGUAUAUUAGAAGGAUGUUGAAGGAAAAAAUUUGUUGAAUGAAAGUGAGCAGAAUUUGGUUUAGACGGAAAUGUAAUUUUGCUAUUGGCUUUUGUUAAGUCUGUAACUUCUCUAGCUGGUAAGUGAGUGAUAGAGGUGUUAUCCAUUGACAUAAAGUCACAUGAAGUCAAACCAACAAUGUAGUCCAUCAUUCUACCUGAUUACUGUACUCACUCAGUAAUUCUUCUCCAUUAAUGAAUUUAAGUAGAGUUGUUUUGCAGUUUAA